Molecule: ribosomal RNA, 524 nt
Filed under: uncultured bacterium
Lineage: Bacteria
Description: bacterial SSU rRNA
Rfam family: Bacterial small subunit ribosomal RNA
Source: RNAcentral
UGGGGAAUAUUGGACAAUGGGGGCAACCCUGAUCCAGCAAUUCUGUGUGCACGAAGAAGGUUUUCGGAUUGUAAAGUGCUUUCAGCAGGGAAGAAAAAAAUGACGGUACCUGCAGAAGAAGCGACGGCUAAAUACGUGCCAGCAGCCGCGGUAAUACGUAUGUCGCAAGCGUUAUCCGGAAUUAUUGGGCAUAAAGGGCAUCUAGGCGGCCAGAUAAGUCUGGGGUGAAAACUUGCGGCUCAACCGCAAGCCUGCCCUGGAAACUAUGUGGCUAGAGUACUGGAGAGGUGGACGGAACUGCACGAGUAGAGGUGAAAUUCGUAGAUAUGUGCAGGAAUGCCGAUGAUGAAGAUAGUUCACUGGACGGUAACUGACGCUGAAGUGCGAAAGCUAGGGGAGCAAACAGGAUUAGAUACCCUGGUAGUCCUAGCUGUAAACGAUGAUUACUGGGUGUGGGCAUGAAGAGUGUCCGUGCCGAAGCUAAUGCGAUAAGUAAUCCGUCUGGGGAGUACGGCCGCAAGGCU